Non-coding RNA from Amborella trichopoda, 154 nucleotides. NCBI's taxonomy places the organism in Eukaryota, Viridiplantae, Streptophyta, Magnoliopsida, Amborellales, Amborellaceae. The record is from Rfam.
CCCCCACCCAUAUGUGUAGGACCCUAAAAGAUCGCCAUUAAAGUUGGUACGGAUCUCUAGAAAAGUUAUCACAUCAGUGUGGGACUUGACUUUUCUAUAGAUCCGUACCAAAUUUAAUGGUGAUCCUUUGGAGUCCUACACACAUAGGUGGGGG